RNAcentral lists this ribosomal RNA (252 nucleotides) under uncultured bacterium. RNAcentral describes it as "partial 16S ribosomal RNA". It matches the Rfam family "Bacterial small subunit ribosomal RNA", at positions 525 to 776 of the family's 1533-position model. The record is from RNAcentral.
ACGGAGGGUGCGAGCGUUGUUCGGAAUCAUUGGGCGUAAAGCGGAUGCAGGCGGUGAAGUUAGUCGGGUGUGAAAGCCCAGGGCCCAACCCUGGAACUGCACUCGAAACUGCUUCACUAGAGUCCCGGAGGGGAAGGCGGAAUUCCCGGUGUAGAGGUGAAAUUCGUAGAUAUCGGGAGGAACACCAGUGGCGAAGGCGGCCUUCUGGACGGUGACUGACGCUCAGAUCCGAAAGCGUGGGGAGCAAACAGG